This 72-nucleotide transfer RNA is filed under the name Aphanochaete confervicola. Its description in RNAcentral is "tRNA-Arg". It matches the Rfam family "tRNA". From Rfam's summary of the family: Transfer RNA (tRNA) molecules are approximately 80 nucleotides in length. Their secondary structure includes four short double-helical elements and three loops (D, anti-codon, and T loops). Lineage: Eukaryota; Viridiplantae; Chlorophyta; Chlorophyceae; Chaetophorales; Aphanochaetaceae. The record is from RNAcentral.
UAGUCCUUAUUUCAAUGGAUAGAAUAACGCACUCCGAAUGCGUUUAUCGGGGUUCGAUUCCCCGAGGACUAA